UACGGAGGGUGCAAGCGUUAUCCGGAUUCACUGGGUUUAAAGGGUGCGUAGGCGGAUUAGAAAGUCCGUUGUGAAAUCUCUGAGCUUAACUCGGAAAUUGCGGUGGAUACUAUUAGUCUUGAAUACUGUGGAGGUUAGCGGAAUAUGUCAUGUAGCGGUGAAAUGCAUAGAUAUGACAUAGAGCACCAAUUGCGAAGGCAGCUGGCUACACAGAUAUUGACGCUGAGGCACGAAAGCGUGGGGAUCAAACAGG
RNAcentral lists this ribosomal RNA (253 nucleotides) under uncultured bacterium. RNAcentral describes it as "partial 16S ribosomal RNA". It matches the Rfam family "Bacterial small subunit ribosomal RNA", at positions 524 to 776 of the family's 1533-position model. The record is from RNAcentral.